AUAUAAGUGUUGACCUAAGCCCCUGUGCAGGGGCUCGGCUCCCGAACCGUACGUGAGCUGCCUCGUACGGCUCUUCCUAAGAACUUGAAGCCCCCUCUCCCUAAAUCAAACUUUUUUUUAAAGCCUUCGCCCUCCUAUUCAACGGGGCUAUUAGAGAAGCAGCUUCGUUCCUUGACUUCUUUGCUCAGUCAAGCUUCCUUGUUCCUUAGUGUAGUCUCGGUCCAUAGUUUAAGACUCCGUUCCUUAUAGUAUAGUCUAUAUCCACAGCUGACGGUGACUCCGUACCGACGCCUUUCCCUUUGUAGACGGCUAAGUUACUUCGUCACUUUAACGUACUUUUUUUCUUACUCUAUCAUAGGCCUUCGUCGGGCUGGCUUUCAUCCCAAAGCCUAUAGGCUUUGGCUUGGUUUCGAUAUCGCUCAUGACUUGUUAUAGAGUCCGUGUAGUGGUCGGCCUUCCCAUCAGAAAUGGGAAAUGAUAGAGUGGUCGGCCUUUUGCUUGCCUCCUUCCAGCUCAGAAUGCCUAAUGCCUAUUAUAAGUUCUAGAAGCUAACCGCCAGAAGCUCACCCUUCGGGUCUCGCUUCCAGCGCGGGAGGCCAAGCAUUCUGCCAGACGUCCCGCCUUGGGAACCCCGUUCGCCUUUGUUCAGUAGAUCUUCAAAAAAAAGAAAGACUUCAAUGCAACCUUAACUACAACUACAUUACGCAAGCUCCACCAAUACCUACCU
Molecule: RNA transcript, 727 nt
Organism: Arabidopsis thaliana (thale cress)
Lineage: Eukaryota; Viridiplantae; Streptophyta; Magnoliopsida; Brassicales; Brassicaceae
Exons: 1
Source: RefSeq